Molecule: long non-coding RNA, 2174 nt
Filed under: Cyanistes caeruleus (blue tit)
Lineage: Eukaryota; Metazoa; Chordata; Aves; Passeriformes; Paridae
Description: lncRNA (ENSCCEG00000018586.1)
Source: RNAcentral
GCGUGGCUUGUGGGUAAAAUGGGCGUGGUUUGCUCGGUGGGCGUGGCCUGAGUGGGCGUGUCCCGCAGGAGGAAGAGGAGGAGGAGGAAGAGGAGGAGCGAGGCCAAGGGGGCGGAGCCAAAGCCCCGGGGUUGGGGGGAGGGCGGCGCUACGUCCCGCCCCGGCUGGUGCCCGUCAGCUGCGAUCCGGCUCCGGAUCCCGAAUCCCGAUCCCGCUCCCGGCUCCGGCUCCGGGCUUUGAGCUCGGCCGCGCUCCGGGAGCUGCGCCAGGAGUUGGGGGAGGGGCCCCUGGAGGAGGGGGCGGGGCUGCAGCCCCCGCAGCGCCAGGAGAUCCAGAGGUGCGGAAAAUUCCGGAAAAUCCCGGGGAAAAUCCGGGAAAAAUCCGGGGGAAAUUUGGGAAUUUUUGGGGAAUUUUUGGGAUUUUUUUUGGGAAUUUUUUGAAAUUUUUUGGGAAUUUUUUGGGAUUUUUUUUGGAAUUUUUGGGGGAAUUUUGGGGAAUUUUUUGGGGAUUUUUGGGGAUUUUUUUUGGGAAUUUUGGGGAAAUUUUUGGGAAUUUUUGGGGGAAUUUUGGGGAAAUUUUUGGGAAUUUUGGGGGGAUUUUUUUUGAAAUUUUUUGGGAAUUUUUAGGGAAUUUUUUGGAAUUUUUGGGGAUUUUUUAUGGGAAUUUUGGGGAAUUUUUUGGGGAAAUUUUUGGGGAAAUUUUGGGAUUUUUGGGGGAUUUUUUUGGAAUUUAUAGGGAAUUUUUGGGAUUUUUUUUUGAAAUUUUUUGGGGAAAUUUUGGGAUUUUUUUGGGGUUUUUUUUUAAAUUUUUUUGGGAUUUUUUGGGAAUUUUUGUGGAAUUUGGGGGAAUUUUUUGGGGAAUUUUUUGGGGAAAUUUUGGGAUUUUUGGGGGAUUUUUUUUGAAAUUUUUUUGGGUUUUUUUGGGAAUUUUGGGGGGAAUUUUUGGGAAUUUUUUGGGAAUUUUUGGGAUUUUUUUUUUAAAUUUUUUGGGGAAUUUUGGGGGAAUUUUGGGGGAUUUUUUUUGGGAUUUUUUUGGGAUUUUUUUGGAAUUUUUGGGGAUUUUUUGGGGAAUUUUUGAGAAUAUUUGGAACUUUUUUGGGAAUUUUUGGGGCAAUUUUGGGAAUUUUUUUGGAUUUGUUUUGAAAUUUUUUGGGGGUUUUUUGGGAAUUUUUUAGGGAAUUUUUGGGAAUUUUUUGGAAAUUUUGGGGGAUUUUUUUGGGGAAUUUUUGGGAAUUUUUUACGAUUUUUUGGGAUUUUUUGGGGAAUUUUUGAAGAAAUUUUGGGAUUUUGGGGGAUUUUUUUUGAAAUUUUUUGGGGUUUUUUUGGGAAUUUUUUGUGAAUUUUUUGAGAAUUUUGGGGGAUUUUUUUGGGGAAUUUUUUGAAAUUUUUUACGAUUUUUUGGGAUUUUUUUGGGGAAUUUUUUGGGAUUUUUUGAAAAAUUUUUGGGGAAUUUUUGGGAUUUUAUUUUGAAAUUCUUCGGGGGUUUUUUGGGAUUUUUUUGGGAAAGUUUUUGGAAAUUUUGGGGGAUUUUUUUCAGAAUUUUUUGGGAAUUGUUGGAACUUUGGGGGAAAAUUUGGGAUUUUUUUUGCUUUUUUUUUUUGAAAUUUUUUGGGAUUUUUGGGGCAUUUUUUGGGGAAUUUUUGGGAAUUUUUUGGGAAUUUUUAGGGAUUUUUUUGGGGAAUUUUGGGGUUUUUUGGGAUUUCUUUUGGAAUUUUUGGGGGAUGUUUCAGGAAUUUUUGGGGAAUUUUUGAGGGGGAAUUCUUGCGAAUUUUGGGGAAAAUUUUGGGAAUUUUGGGGGGAUUUUUUUGGAGGAAUUUUGUGGGAUUUUUUGGGGAAUUUUGGGAUUUUUUUGGAAUUUUUGGGGAAUUUUUGGGACUUUUUUGGGAAUUUUUUUUAUUUUUUGGGGAAUUUUUUGGGAAUUUUUGGGAAUUUUUUGGGGGAAUUUUUGAGAAUUUUUGGAACUUUUUUUGGGGAAUUUUGGGGGAAAUUUUUGGGAUUUUUUGGGAAUUUUUGGGAAUUUUUGAGGAAUUUUUAAGAAUUUUUAGGGGGAUUUUUGGGGGAUUUUUGGGUCAAUUUUGAUCCAAAUUUGGUCAAUUUUGGGUCAAUUUUUACCGAAUUUGGGUCAUUUCGGGUCAAUUCCACCCUCCCGGAUCAGAAUUUGGGGGUUUGGAGUCG